GACGAACGCUGGCGGCGUGCUUAACACAUGCAAGUCGAACGGAAAGGCCUCUUUCGGGGGGUACUCGAGUGGCGAACGGGUGAGUAACACGUGAGUAACCUGCCCUUGACUUUGGGAUAACUUCAGGAAACUGGGGCUAAUACCGGAUAGGAGCUCCUGCUGCAUGGUGGGGGUUGGAAAGUUUCGGCGGUUGGGGAUGGACUCGCGGCUUAUCAGCUUGUUGGUGGGGUAGUGGCUUACCAAGGCUUUGACGGGUAGCCGGCCUGAGAGGGUGACCGGCCACAUUGGGGCUGAGAUACGGCCCAGACUCCUACGGGAGGCAGCAGUGGGGAAUAUUGCACAAUGGGUGGAAGCCUGAUGCAGCAACGCCGUGUGCGGGAUGACGGCCUUCGGGUUGUAAACCGCUUUCGCUCAUGACGAAGCUUUGUGUGACGGUAGUGGGUAAAGAAGCACCGGCUAACUACGUG
This 467-nucleotide ribosomal RNA is filed under the name uncultured bacterium. RNAcentral describes it as "partial 16S ribosomal RNA". It matches the Rfam family "Bacterial small subunit ribosomal RNA", at positions 28 to 507 of the family's 1533-position model. The record is from RNAcentral.